AGUGAACGCUGGCGGUAGGCCUAACACAUGCAAGUCGAACGGCAGCACAGUAAGAGCUUGCUCUUACGGGUGGCGAGUGGCGGACGGGUGAGGAAUACAUCGGAAUCUACUUUUUCGUGGGGGAUAACGUAGGGAAACUUACGCUAAUACCGCAUACGACCUACGGGUGAAAGCAGGGGAUCUUCGGAUCUUGCGCGAUUGAAUGAGCCGAUGUCGGAUUAGUUAGUUGGCGGGGUAAAGGCCCACCAAGGCGACGAUCCGUAGCUGGUCUGAGAGGAUGAUCAGCCACACUGGAGCUGAGACACGGUCCAGACUCCUACGGGAGGCAGCAGUGGGGAAUAUUGGACAAUGGGCGCAAGCCUGAUCCAGCCAUACCGCGUGGGUGAAGAAGGCCUUCGGGUUGUAAAGCCCUUUUGUUGGGAAAGAAAAGCAGCAGGUUAAUACCCCGCUGUUCUGACGGUACCCAAAGAAUAAGCACCGGCUAACUUCGU
This 491-nucleotide ribosomal RNA is filed under the name uncultured bacterium. Its description in RNAcentral is "partial 16S ribosomal RNA". It matches the Rfam family "Bacterial small subunit ribosomal RNA", at positions 29 to 506 of the family's 1533-position model. The record is from RNAcentral.